Molecule: ribosomal RNA, 220 nt
Filed under: uncultured bacterium
Lineage: Bacteria
Description: partial 16S ribosomal RNA
Rfam family: Bacterial small subunit ribosomal RNA
Source: RNAcentral
GCCGUUCUCAGUUCGGAUUGUAGGCUGCAACUCGCCUACAUGAAGUCGGAAUCGCUAGUAAUCGCGGAUCAGCAUGCCGCGGUGAAUACGUUCCCGGGCCUUGUACACACCGCCCGUCACACCAUGAGAGUUUGUAACACCCAAAGCCGGUGGGGUAACCUUUUGGAGCCAGCCGUCUGAGGUGGGACAGAUGAUUGGGGUGAAGUCGUAACAAGGUACC